RNAcentral lists this ribosomal RNA (1100 nucleotides) under Vibrio sp. UST061013-009. RNAcentral's name for it is "bacterial SSU rRNA". It matches the Rfam family "Bacterial small subunit ribosomal RNA", at positions 93 to 1189 of the family's 1533-position model. Lineage: Bacteria; Pseudomonadati; Pseudomonadota; Gammaproteobacteria; Vibrionales; Vibrionaceae. The record is from RNAcentral.
GAGCGGCGGACGGGUGAGUAAUGCCUAGGAAAUUGCCUUGAUGUGGGGGAUAACCAUUGGAAACGAUGGCUAAUACCGCAUAACGCCUACGGGCCAAAGAGGGGGACCUUCGGGCCUCUCGCGUCAAGAUAUGCCUAGGUGGGAUUAGCUAGUUGGUGAGGUAAUGGCUCACCAAGGCGACGAUCCCUAGCUGGUCUGAGAGGAUGAUCAGCCACACUGGAACUGAGACACGGUCCAGACUCCUACGGGAGGCAGCAGUGGGGAAUAUUGCACAAUGGGCGCAAGCCUGAUGCAGCCAUGCCGCGUGUAUGAAGAAGGCCUUCGGGUUGUAAAGUACUUUCAGCAGUGAGGAAGGGGGUGUCGUUAAUAGCGGCAUCUCUUGACGUUAGCUGCAGAAGAAGCACCGGCUAACUCCGUGCCAGCAGCCGCGGUAAUACGGAGGGUGCGAGCGUUAAUCGGAAUUACUGGGCGUAAAGCGCAUGCAGGUGGUUUGUUAAGUCAGAUGUGAAAGCCCGGGGCUCAACCUCGGAACUGCAUUUGAAACUGGCAAACUAGAGUACUGUAGAGGGGGGUAGAAUUUCAGGUGUAGCGGUGAAAUGCGUAGAGAUCUGAAGGAAUACCAGUGGCGAAGGCGGCCCCCUGGACAGAUACUGACACUCAGAUGCGAAAGCGUGGGGAGCAAACAGGAUUAGAUACCCUGGUAGUCCACGCCGUAAACGAUGUCUACUUGGAGGUUGUGGCCUUGAGCCGUGGCUUUCGGAGCUAACGCGUUAAGUAGACCGCCUGGGGAGUACGGUCGCAAGAUUAAAACUCAAAUGAAUUGACGGGGGCCCGCACAAGCGGUGGAGCAUGUGGUUUAAUUCGAUGCAACGCGAAGAACCUUACCUACUCUUGACAUCCAGAGAACUUACCAGAGAUGGAUUGGUGCCUUCGGGAACUCUGAGACAGGUGCUGCAUGGCUGUCGUCAGCUCGUGUUGUGAAAUGUUGGGUUAAGUCCCGCAACGAGCGCAACCCUUAUCCUUGUUUGCCAGCGAGUAAUGUCGGGAACUCCAGGGAGACUGCCGGUGAUAAACCGGAGGAAGGUGGGGACGACGUCAAG